Molecule: transfer RNA, 85 nt
Filed under: Pseudoprimorskyibacter insulae
Lineage: Bacteria; Pseudomonadati; Pseudomonadota; Alphaproteobacteria; Rhodobacterales; Paracoccaceae
Description: Primorskyibacter insulae tRNA-Leu
Rfam family: tRNA
About the family: Transfer RNA (tRNA) molecules are approximately 80 nucleotides in length. Their secondary structure includes four short double-helical elements and three loops (D, anti-codon, and T loops). Further hydrogen bonds mediate the characteristic L-shaped molecular structure. tRNAs have two regions of fundamental functional importance: the anti-codon, which is responsible for specific mRNA codon recognition, and the 3' end, to which the tRNAs corresponding amino acid is attached (by aminoacyl-tRNA synthetases). tRNAs cope with the degeneracy of the genetic code in two manners: having more than one tRNA (with a specific anti-codon) for a particular amino acid; and 'wobble' base-pairing, i.e. permitting non-standard base-pairing at the 3rd anti-codon position.
Source: RNAcentral
GCCCGCGUGGUGGAACGGUAGACACAGGAGACUUAAAAUCUCUAGGCCCUAGGCCGUGCCGGUUCGAAUCCGGCCGCGGGCACCA